This 301-nucleotide ribosomal RNA is filed under the name uncultured bacterium. RNAcentral's name for it is "partial 16S ribosomal RNA". It matches the Rfam family "Bacterial small subunit ribosomal RNA", at positions 509 to 807 of the family's 1533-position model. The record is from RNAcentral.
CAGCCGCCACGGUAAUACAGAGGGUGCAAGCGUUAAUCGGAUUUACUGGGCGUAAAGGGCGCGUAGGUGGUUAUUUAAGUGAGAUGUGAAAGCCCCGGGCUUAACCUGGGAACUGCAUCUUAUACUGGGUAACUGGAGUGCAGUAGAGGGUAGUGGAAUUUCCGGUGUAGCGGUGAAAUGCGUAGAUAUCGGAAGGAACACCGAUGGCGAAGGCAGCCCCCUGGGCCAACACUGACGCUCAUGCACGAAAGCGUGGGGAGCAAACAGGAUUAGAUACCCGCGUAGUCCCUGUCUCUUAUAC